UGGGGAAUCUUCCGCAAUGGGCGAAAGCCUGACGGAGCGCGCCGCGUGAGAGAAGACGGUCUUCGGGUUGUAAAGCUCUGUUAUACGGGACGAAUAAUCUUGUGGUUAAUACCCAUAAGAAGUGAAGGUACCGUAAAAGAAAGCCGCGGCUAACUACGUGCCAGCAGCCGCGGAAAUACGUAGGUGGCAAGCGUUGUCCGGAAUUAUUGGGCGGAAAGGGGCGGGGGGUCUUCUUAUUAGGUNUGUUUUGCGGGGGUGACNNUUAACCCCGGGAUGGUUUGAAACCUGUAAAGCUCAGAGAAUCGGAGAAGAAAGCGUAAUUCCUAGCGUAGCGGUGAAAUGCGUAUAUAUUAGGAGGAACACCAGUGGCGAAAGCGGCCUUCUGGACGAAAACUGACGCUGAGGCGCGAAAGCCGAAUUAGCGAACGGGAUUAGAUACCCCGGUAGUCCUGGCCGUCGUUUUACANUACUAGGUGUAGGAGGUAUCGACCCCUUCUGUGCCGGAGUUAACGCAAUAAGUACCCCGCCUGGGGGAGUACGGCCGCAAGGUUG
This 552-nucleotide ribosomal RNA is filed under the name uncultured bacterium. RNAcentral describes it as "bacterial SSU rRNA". It matches the Rfam family "Bacterial small subunit ribosomal RNA", at positions 355 to 896 of the family's 1533-position model. The record is from RNAcentral.